AGCAGUAGCCGCGGGAAUACGUAGGUGGCAAGCGUUAUCCGGAAUUAUUGGGCGUAAAGCGCGCGUAGGCGGUUUUUUAAGUCUGAUGUGAAAGCCCACGGCUCAACCGUGGAGGGUCAUUGGAAACUGGAAAACUUGAGUGCAGAAGAGGAAAGUGGAAUUCCAUGUGUAGCGGUGAAAUGCGCAGAGAUAUGGAGGAACACCAGUGGCGAAGGCGACUUUCUGGUCUGUAACUGACGCUGAUGUGCGAAAGCGUGGGGAUCAAACAGGAUUAGAUACCCGAGUAGUCCCUGUCUCUUAUAA
This 303-nucleotide ribosomal RNA is filed under the name uncultured bacterium. RNAcentral describes it as "partial 16S ribosomal RNA". It matches the Rfam family "Bacterial small subunit ribosomal RNA", at positions 507 to 809 of the family's 1533-position model. The record is from RNAcentral.